Molecule: ribosomal RNA, 463 nt
Filed under: uncultured bacterium
Lineage: Bacteria
Description: bacterial SSU rRNA
Rfam family: Bacterial small subunit ribosomal RNA
Source: RNAcentral
CCAGACUCCUACGGGAGGCAGCAGUGAGGAAUAUUGGUCAAUGGGCGCAGGCCUGAACCAGCCAAGUCGCGUGAGGGAAGACUGCCCUAUGGGUUGUAAACCUCUUUUAUAAGGGAAGAAUAAUGACUACGUGUAGUCAGAUGCCCGUACCUUAUGAAUAAGCAUCGGCUAACUCCGUGCCAGCAGCCGCGGUAAUACGGAGGAUGCGAGCGUUAUCCGGAUUUAUUGGGUUUAAAGGGUGCGUAGGCGGUAUUUUAAGUUAGUGGUAAAACGUCGGGGCUUCACCUUGAUUGGCCAUUAAAACUGGAGUACUAGAGUACAGACGAGGUAGGCGGAAUAAGUUAAGUAGCGGUGAAAUGCUUAGAUAUAACUUAGAACCCCGAUAGCGAAGGCAGCUUACCAGACUGUUACUGACGCUGAAGCACGAGAGCGUGGGUAGCGAACAGGAUUAGAUACCCCAGUA